Molecule: non-coding RNA, 73 nt
Organism: Irineochytrium annulatum
Lineage: Eukaryota; Fungi; Chytridiomycota; Chytridiomycetes; Chytridiales; Chytridiaceae
Source: the annotation of a GenBank genome assembly
GGGGGCGUGGCGAAAUGGUUAACGCGUUCGGCUUCGAACCGAAAGAUUGCAGGUUCGAGCCCUGCCGUCCUCG